Neogale vison (American mink) is the source of this 660-nucleotide long non-coding RNA. RefSeq lists it as uncharacterized. The record is from RefSeq and is a predicted model, not a curated record. NCBI's taxonomy places the organism in Eukaryota, Metazoa, Chordata, Mammalia, Carnivora, Mustelidae. The transcript has 3 exons.
CGCCAGACCCGCCGAAGCCCCUGGGCGUCUCGGCGGCCCGAGGACUCGCCGGCUGGUUGGCCGGGGCGGGACGGCCGCGAAUCAUCUGGCCUCCGGGAGAGCGCCGGACGUCCCCGGGCUGCGAGGGACCCGGAAAAUAAAGCGGCCAAGAAACUUUAUUUUCCUCGCUGCUAUUUCCGUCACUUAAUGUUUCUCUAAGGAACGCGUGCGAACUACCCUUAGACUUCACUGUUGCUCUGAUGUCGUUUGUGAUGUGUCUGCCAUCGCCCUGCCUGACAAAUAAUUAAACACACACAGUACUUUUAUCAUCUGGCAAAUCUGCUUGACUCCACCAGCAAAGGCCAAACUCACUCCUUCCUUUCUUAUCGCAAGGCUCAAAAACAACAGGAGUAGAAGCAGUCUUUAUUUUAACUCGGUUUUGCCCCGAUUUGAUUCUAACCACUCUACACAGAAGGAAAGGCCUCCAUGACCCACCAGGAACCCCUUGACCUUGGAUCUGUUGCACCUGCUGCUGAAGCUGAGGUUGUCACGAUCACCUUCCAAAAUGCCUUGGAGCAUUUAUGACAGGGAACCUCCUUCUCUUGCCCCUGGAACCGUAUUUAACUCUAUGGGAGGAGGCAAGGGAUAUUGAGCGAGGCUCAGUGAGACACUAAAUGUAAA